RNAcentral lists this ribosomal RNA (222 nucleotides) under uncultured Clostridium sp. Its description in RNAcentral is "partial 16S ribosomal RNA". It matches the Rfam family "Bacterial small subunit ribosomal RNA", at positions 213 to 434 of the family's 1533-position model. Lineage: Bacteria; Bacillati; Bacillota; Clostridia; Eubacteriales; Clostridiaceae. The record is from RNAcentral.
UAUCACUGAAGGAUGGACCCGCGUCUGAUUAGCUUGUUGGCGGGGUAACGGCCCACCAAGGCGACGAUCAGUAGCCGACCUGAGAGGGUGAUCGGCCACAUUGGAACUGAGACACGGUCCAAACUCCUACGGGAGGCAGCAGUGGGGAAUAUUGCACAAUGGGCGCAAGCCUGAUGCAGCAACGCCGCGUGAGCGAUGAAGGCCUUCGGGUCGUAAAGCUCU